Molecule: RNA transcript, 1217 nt
Organism: Enhydra lutris kenyoni (northern sea otter)
Lineage: Eukaryota; Metazoa; Chordata; Mammalia; Carnivora; Mustelidae
Gene name: 28S ribosomal protein S35, mitochondrial-like
Exons: 4
Source: RefSeq, a predicted model, not a curated record
AUGUUGGCACGCAUUCGGGUGGCGGACAGAAGGAUCCACCUGCCAGAUAUCAGUGAUACACUGCUGCUGCAGCUUUCUAACAUCAAGGAAUAUGAUGUGCGGGAUGUGCGAGAGAAGGGAGCCACCCGUGUGGACUGGAUGCCCACCAUCAGUGCUGCUUUUAUCAGUAGCUCCAGGGUUUACCUCAUUGGCCACAGCUUCUCCCCAGCUUCAGGGCUGGAUCACGCAGCCUCUUGGGCGGCUGCCUUGUUCUCCGCGUGGCUGGCCCUUCAGCCAGGGACCAGGACCCUGCGUGCUUUCUGUACCUCUGUGUCUCUGGCCACCCGCUCCAUGAUACCAAGCCCACAUACAGCAGACAGAACACCCAGAUAUAAAAGACUGCUGAGAAGAAAGGCACUACCUCCUAGGGUGGAGAAAAUGACUGUUGACCAAGAUUGGCCUAGUGUUUAUCCUGUUGCAGCACCAUUUAAACCCUCUGCUGUGCCUCUUCCCAUUCGAAUGGGCUAUCCAGUAAAAAGGGAGGUGUGCAUGGCAAAGGAGGGAAAUCUAGAACUAUUAAAGAUCCCCAAUUUUCUGCAUUUAACUUCUGUAGCAAUUAAAAAGCACCGUGAAACUCUUAAAGAUUUCUACACUGAGUGGCCAGCUGCACUGGACGGUGAUGAGAAAUGUGAGAAGCAUUUUUCCAUUGAAAUGGACACAACUGAUUAAGUUUCAGCAGGACCAUUUGAAACCCCAAAGCAUGAGUAGUAACCUUAAGGGUUAAACUUUCCAGUUUGAAUUUAGAUGAUCAUGCAAAGAAGAAACUCAUUAAACUUGUGGGAGAGCGAUACUGCAAGACUACAGAUGUACUUACCAGCAAAACAAACAGUUGCCCUUUAAAGAGACAGAAAUAUGAUUAUGCACUAUAUCUGCUAACAGUUUUAUACCAUGAGUCAUGGAAAACUGAAGAAUGGGAGAAAGAUAAGACUGAAGCAGACAUGGAAGAGUAUGUAUGGAACGAUAGCUCCUCUGAAAAAAAUAUUCUGGAAACACUUCUCCAAAUGAAAGCUGCUGAGAAAAAUCUGGAAGUAAAUAAAGAAGAGCUCCUUGCUACAAAAGAAGUUGAAGAGUACAAAAAGUCUGUUGUUAAUCUUAAGAAUGAAGGGGACAAUGAAAAUACCCUUUCUCAGCACAAAGAAUCAGUAAAGGAACUAUUAAAUCUAAUGCGAUUUAUUUAG